GCUAUACACACUCCCAUGCCUCACGUCUGUUAUGGCGAGGAGGUGGGAUUAGCCAUCUAAUCUCCAACAAAUGAAAAUUCAAUCAAAGUUGCCUCCAAACAAAUACACCUCUAUUGAGUACCAUGCUUUUUGGUGACUGCUCCGGUAAAAGUCUCUGUGGUGGUAAUUUGCUGAACACUGGGAGAAAUGAGCAGUUUUGAGGAUGAGCUAUACACACUAUUCUGUAACAUUCUCGAAAAAUUACCGUUAGUCAUCCUCAAAUUUAUGAAAUUAUAAUUUAUUUAUUUUCUACGUCUCUAUUAUUCUACACACUCCGGAUCAAUAGGUGGCGCCUUGCACCCCCUUCAACGAUGGUCUACCUGGCGAAGUUUGCCAUCUGCCAAUAAUAACAACGAGGAAGAAAAAGAAGCGUAAGCUCAUUGGUUGUUUCCUGGGUGUGUUUUUCUGGUGACGCACUUCCCUUUUUUUUCCUCGUCUCUGAUUGGUUUCUGUCACGGCAGGGACCCGCCUAUUACAAACGUUGCUGGCUUUGAUGAACACAAUGUUAAUCACGCGAAUGAACGUAGCGUUAUCACCGGUAGUUAGCGAAUAUCACCGUUGUUUCCGCCUCGUCGAAGUGAAUUUGUCGGUGACUGAACUGAGUUUGCUAGAGUGGACCGAUGAAAACCUCCAGAAGCUGUACGCUGCAAUGAAAAGCAACCUCCCCGAGCAGAGCAGAACGUGCUCUUACUUCAGGGUACUGAAAGGUCUGGACUGGACUACGGUGGCUUUCCCUCCUUUCUCUGCUGAAGAGUGCCAAGCAAAGUGGGGACAAGUUUUGCACAAGAUGCGCAAGUAUCGGUCCCUCACAGAGCUCAUAGACGAAGCUGAAUGUGUCCUUUCAAAUACUCACCAACAAAGUGAGGCUGUAGUGAAAUGUCUUGUUGAGCCCAAGAUGCCAGCCCGAUCUGGUAAUUCCAUUUUUGUAAAAGAUCAGAUGGCACUUCUUAAGGAGCAAGUCCCAAAUGCAAGGAACCGCUUCCUCAAAGCCAACCAAAACUGGAAUGACCUCUCCACAGAGGAGAAGAAAUGCUACAAAAUAAUAGUACAACAAAACGCAAAAAAAUAUUCAAUGGACCUGCAUGAGUGGUUUAAGACAUUGACGGCAGCAGAACAGGAGGGAUAUAGAACAUCUAACCCCAGAAAAUAUAAGUACAUUGAAGCCAUACAUAGCAACCAUGAGAGGGAAGAACAGAACAAUCAUGAUAUGGAAGACCAGAACAAUCAUGAGGUGGAAGACCAGAACAAUCAUAAGAGGGAAGAACUUUGCCCAAACAGACCGUCAGAUUCAGAAGAUGAAGACAUUGAGGACAGCAGCAGUGACGAAGAAGAGGACGAUCUAAACAGUGAUGAGGUUAUAACGAGGGACGUGACUCCCCGGAGGAUCUCAACGUGCAGCUGUGAGUGGCUGCAUCACGUUCAAGGCACCAAUGCAUGUUGUGUUCACAAUCAUAUACAUGCACUGUAA
Molecule: long non-coding RNA, 1507 nt
Filed under: Scophthalmus maximus (turbot)
Lineage: Eukaryota; Metazoa; Chordata; Actinopteri; Pleuronectiformes; Scophthalmidae
Description: lncRNA (ENSSMAG00000034934.1)
Source: RNAcentral